GAUUUAUGUUUAUGGUCUUCCAGCAGACAAAUUUAUGGGGACGUCUGGGGACCAGGCCUCUGACACAGAAUAAGCAUCAAUCUCUCCUGGAGACUGGUCGCGGGUUUAUUUCUGAAACUUGUGUGGAAUGAGGGAGCAAAUCUAGAGUGUUUAAGAUCUAAUAAUAAUCAUACACUUUAACACAUUCAAAUCAUGAUAUUUCAGGAGACAGCAACCUUGGCUUUGCUUAUAGCUCUAAGCAGGGCUGUUCCCAGAGGAGGACUGUCCUUCUGAGGAAAGAAGACACAGAGCUGGUUACAAUCCCAGGGAGGAUGUCUGCACAGAGAGUCCUCAUCUCUCAGAAAGAAAAAAUAAAAGCAUAAAAGAAAAAAAAAGGGCAGAAAAAAAAAUGGAGGGAAAAAAAGGAGCAACUAAGAGAGUUUGAGACAUAUAAUCUCCAAGGCCAAAAGGAAAGACAUAUAAUUUUCAAGGCCAAAAGGAAAUAAGGCAGGAAUUUGAUGGGUGAUUAAUGGCCGUGCUGGAGCAGUGGGAGUGGUGCUGAUGUCAGAGCCUCCAAGAAUGAUUCCUCUUUGGAAAGAGGAAAAGGCAAGUGGAUCCCAAAAUAGCCAUUUUUUUAAAAUCAAUUUUCUGAAACCUGUGAUAUUCUUCCUGGGUAAACUUGAAGCUCCAGAAAAGAGAUGGUCCCUCCUGGAAGAAGCAGUGAAUGGGCUUCCCUAGUCUCAAAUUCCAUUGGACUUACCCACCUACCAGUCCCAAAGGAUUGGCUGCAUCCCAGAACCUCCCUGGACCCUUUGUUUUCACAGCAGCUCCUAGGAAAGCACAUCACCCAGAGAGCUUCAUCAGUGACGAUCUGAAUGCGUUGUGCACAGAGGAGAUUUGACCAGCGGGAAGUUGGUCAAAUUCAUAACUGAAAUUCUAUGUGUUUUUUCUGUUAUAAUUGCAGUAAAAGAUGUACUUUUGCAGUCAGCCUGGAUCACUCCUGAGAAAGAGAAAUAAAUCCUAUGUGAAUUUCAUUUCUCAAAAGAAGGCAAAAGAGGAGACAUUAUUCACUGGAUGUUGGAGAAGAGAUGAAAAAAAUAAAGGAGAAGGCAGUUUAGCAAUGGGAUGGAGACAAAAAAGAAUCCUGUACUCACAAGAAAUUCAGGGGAUCUUCGUCCUCCUCUCCCCUUCAGAAAGAAGCGAGGCCUGUCUGAUAAGGAACAGGAAGAGUUGGACUCUCAUUGGAAUGGAUGCAGAAUCUUGGCCUCUGCAAUCCCACCGCCAGAACCACUGAAGGAAACCCUGCCUGAGAGUGAAGCCAGCACAGAAGCAGUGGAAUUGAGAAAGGAAGAGAGGCUUUGUUUAUGAAUCUGCCCAAAGGGAUCCCUUGAACUUUCCAAUCAAAUAAACCAAUAGAUUCUGUUUUCUUUUA
Molecule: long non-coding RNA, 1411 nt
Organism: Aotus nancymaae (Ma's night monkey)
Lineage: Eukaryota; Metazoa; Chordata; Mammalia; Primates; Aotidae
Source: Ensembl